UAAAUACUUCCUUCGUCUUAAAUUUUUUGUCUUACAUUUGUCUAGUAUGAAUGUAUAUAGUCACGUUUUAGUAUUUAGAUACAUUCAUUUCUAAACAAACUUAAGAUAAGAAUUUUGAAACGGAGGGAGCACUAC
This 135-nucleotide microRNA precursor is filed under the name Hordeum vulgare. RNAcentral describes it as "microRNA MIR1122". It matches the Rfam family "MIR1120/MIR1122 microRNA precursor family". The record is from RNAcentral. Lineage: Eukaryota; Viridiplantae; Streptophyta; Magnoliopsida; Poales; Poaceae.